AUACCUACCUGAAAGCAAAGGGAAGGUGCCAUAACUCUUCCAUUAGACCUGGGAUGUGCUGGCUCCUGAGAUUUCCCCAAAUGUGAGAAAUCUGACUGCGUAAUUUAGGGCAGUGGGGGACUACAUUUGUACUCACCCCCU
This 141-nucleotide small nuclear RNA is filed under the name Nannospalax galili (Upper Galilee mountains blind mole rat). Its description in RNAcentral is "U1 spliceosomal RNA (ENSNGAG00000003093.1)". It matches the Rfam family "U1 spliceosomal RNA". Rfam says of the family: U1 is a small nuclear RNA (snRNA) component of the spliceosome (involved in pre-mRNA splicing). Its 5' end forms complementary base pairs with the 5' splice junction, thus defining the 5' donor site of an intron. Lineage: Eukaryota; Metazoa; Chordata; Mammalia; Rodentia; Spalacidae. The record is from RNAcentral.